UACGGAGGGGGCAAGCGUUGUUCGGAAUUACUGGGCGUAAAGGGUUUGUAGGUGGCUUGUUAAGUCAGACGUGAAAUCCCUCAGCUUAACUGGGGAACUGCGUCUGAUACUGGCGAGCUUGAGUGCAGGAGAGGAACGCGGAAUUCCAGGUGUAGCGGUGAAAUGCGUAGAUAUCUGGAGGAACACCGGUGGCGAAGGCGGCGUUCUGGACUGCAACUGACACUGAGAAACGAAAGCCAGGGGAGCAAACGGG
This 253-nucleotide ribosomal RNA is filed under the name uncultured bacterium. RNAcentral describes it as "partial 16S ribosomal RNA". It matches the Rfam family "Bacterial small subunit ribosomal RNA", at positions 524 to 776 of the family's 1533-position model. The record is from RNAcentral.